UACGUAGGGUGCGAGCGUUAAUCGGAAUUACUGGGCGUAAAGCGUGCGCAGGCGGUUUUGUAAGACAGAUGUGAAAUCCCCGGGCUUAACCUGGGAACUGCAUUUGUAACUGCAAGGCUAGAGUACGGCAGAGGGGGGUAGAAUUCCACGUGUAGCAGUGAAAUGCGUAGAUAUGUGGAGGAAUACCGAUGGCGAAGGCAGCCCCCUGGGUCGAUACUGACGCUCAUGCACGAAAGCGUGGGGAGCAAAC
This 250-nucleotide ribosomal RNA is filed under the name uncultured bacterium. Its description in RNAcentral is "partial 16S ribosomal RNA". It matches the Rfam family "Bacterial small subunit ribosomal RNA", at positions 524 to 773 of the family's 1533-position model. The record is from RNAcentral.